UUAAAUUGAAGAGUUUGAUCAUGGCUCAGAUUGAAUGCUGGCGGCAGGCCUAACACAUGCAAGUCGAACGGUAACAGGAAGCAGCUUGCUGUUU
Molecule: ribosomal RNA, 94 nt
Filed under: Escherichia coli
Lineage: Bacteria; Pseudomonadati; Pseudomonadota; Gammaproteobacteria; Enterobacterales; Enterobacteriaceae
Description: partial 16S ribosomal RNA
Rfam family: Bacterial small subunit ribosomal RNA
Source: RNAcentral